GUUGCCAGAUUCCUUUUAGCGGGAAUUUUAAAAUUUUAUAGCAGUUUGGUUUUAAAUUUGACAGUUCUGUUUUCUCAAGUCAAAAAUCUUAACCUUACUUUUACAAGUGAUUAAGAUUAUUUUAUUUACAUGUAAAUUGAAACAAUAAAUAUUGUGCUUUGUCAUAAUUUAAAACUCAUUAUGUUGAAGUCUUUUCCAGUUGAUAAAAUUGCAAUUCAAAAACUUUUAGGUAGAUUUGUACUGUAUGGAUGGCACAGGAAGAGAACAGAGAACAAGAGUACAAGAACAUGAAACAUCUUAUUAUGAAUGUAUAUGUAUGUGAUCCUCAAAAAAUUAUUUUUCAAAACAAGAUAGAGAAUGAGCUUUAAAAUCCCAAGGAUCCUGCAAAAUGUCUAUUUGGUGUACUAGUCGAAUAAUAGUACCUAUCUAAAAAUAAUGAAACUGUUUUAAAACACAUUAUGGGCAUGAGGAUGAUAUAGAGCACUUACAUAAAUACCAAAAUCAGAUAAAUAUCUCUUCAAAGUUUAUUUUGAGACUUUCUUCAAAAAUUAAACUUCAGACUGUCCAGGAUAGCAUAAUAGCAUAGGAGGCAAAUUAAGAAGAAUUAAUUUACUUACAAGAAGAGAUAUCACAAACAUUAAACUCUCUUAUGGCAUUGAUUUGAAAGAUGGGUAUAUGUACAAUGAUGAUGCAACCAGUGUUUAUUUUUGGGUUGAAUGCUUACAGAUUAUUUAUUUUUUCCAAUAUUAUUUUACAAACAACAGGGCAUACUAAUGGAUAUUCAUUCUGAAUUUAACAUUUAUGAUUUUUGUCUUAUUUUCCUUAAUACUGUGCCAAAAGGAAAUGUUAAUUAAGUUUGGCAAAUCCUUUAUCGCAAUCGAUGGAACUCAUGGGCUCAAUUCCUAUGACUUUGAACUUAUGACAGUAUUAGUAAAAGAUGAAUUUGGGAAUGGA
This is a long non-coding RNA of Diabrotica virgifera virgifera (western corn rootworm), 954 nucleotides long. RefSeq lists it as uncharacterized. The transcript is spliced from 3 exons. NCBI's taxonomy places the organism in Eukaryota, Metazoa, Arthropoda, Insecta, Coleoptera, Chrysomelidae. The record is from RefSeq and is a predicted model, not a curated record.